GACGAACGCUGGCGGCGUGCUUAACACAUGCAAGUCGAACGGAAAGGCCCUGCUUUUGUUGGGUGCUCGAGUGGCGAACGGGUGAGUAACACGUGAGUAACCUGCCCUUGACUUUGGGAUAACUUCAGGAAACUGGGGCUAAUACCGGAUAGGAGCUCCUGCUGCAUGGUGGGGGUUGGAAAGUUUCGGCGGUUGGGGAUGGACUCGCGGCUUAUCAGCUUGUUGGUGGGGUAGUUGCUUACCAAGGCUUUGACGGGUAGCCGGCCUGAGAGGGUGACCGGCCACAUUGGGACUGAGAUACGGCCCAGACUCCUACGGGAGGCAGCAGUGGGGAAUAUUGCACAAUGGGCGGAAGCGUGAUGCGGCAACGCCGCGUGCGGGAUGACGGCCUUCGGGUUGUAAACCGCUUUCGCCUGUGACGAAGCGUGAGUGACGGUAAUGGGUAAAGAAGCACCGGCUAACUACGUG
This 468-nucleotide ribosomal RNA is filed under the name uncultured bacterium. RNAcentral's name for it is "partial 16S ribosomal RNA". It matches the Rfam family "Bacterial small subunit ribosomal RNA", at positions 28 to 507 of the family's 1533-position model. The record is from RNAcentral.